UACGUAGGUGGCAAGCGUUGUCCGGAUUUAUUGGGUUUAAAGGGUGCGUAGGCGGCCCCGUAAGUCAGUGCUGAAAUAUCCCGGCUUAACCGGGAGGGUGGCAUUGAUACUGCAGGGCUUGAGUAAAGUUGAGGUAGGCGGAAUUGACGGUGUAGCGGUGAAAUGCUUAGAUAUCGUCAAGAACACCGAUAGUGUAGACAGCCUCCUGGGCCGACACUGACGCUGAGGGCACGAAAGCGUGGGGAGCAAACAGG
This 254-nucleotide ribosomal RNA is filed under the name uncultured bacterium. RNAcentral describes it as "partial 16S ribosomal RNA". It matches the Rfam family "Bacterial small subunit ribosomal RNA", at positions 524 to 776 of the family's 1533-position model. The record is from RNAcentral.